GCAGCAGUAGUUUAAAUAAAAACAUUAGCCUGUGGUGCUAAAAAUGGAACCACCCUCCCUGUAGCU
RNAcentral lists this transfer RNA (66 nucleotides) under Trioceros bitaeniatus. RNAcentral's name for it is "tRNA-His". It matches the Rfam family "tRNA". From Rfam's summary of the family: Transfer RNA (tRNA) molecules are approximately 80 nucleotides in length. Their secondary structure includes four short double-helical elements and three loops (D, anti-codon, and T loops). Lineage: Eukaryota; Metazoa; Chordata; Lepidosauria; Squamata; Chamaeleonidae. The record is from RNAcentral.